RNAcentral lists this non-coding RNA (148 nucleotides) under Homo sapiens (human). The record is from Rfam by way of RNAcentral. Lineage: Eukaryota; Metazoa; Chordata; Mammalia; Primates; Hominidae.
GCCAGGCAUGGUGGUGCAUGCCUGUAAUCCCAGCUACUCAGGAGGCUGAGACAGGAGAAUUGCUUGAACCUGGGAGGCAGAGGUUGCAGUGAACCCAGAUUGUGCCACUGCACUCCAGCCUGGGCAACAGAGUAAGACUCUGUCUCAA